Molecule: ribosomal RNA, 442 nt
Filed under: uncultured bacterium
Lineage: Bacteria
Description: partial 16S ribosomal RNA
Rfam family: Bacterial small subunit ribosomal RNA
Source: RNAcentral
CCUACGGGUGGCAGCAGUGGGGAAUAUUGGGCAAUGGGCGCAAGCCUGACCCAGCAACGCCGCGUGAAGGAAGAAGGCUUUCUGGUUGUAAACUUCUUUUGACAGGGAAGUGCAGAAUACGAUACCUGUCAAAUAAUCCACGGCUAACUACGUGCCAUCAGCCGCGGUAAUACGUAUGGUGCAAGCGUUAUCCGGAUUUACUGGGUGUAAAGGGAGCGCAGGCGGCACGGCAAGCCUGAUGUGAAAGCCCGCGGCUCAACCGCGGGACUGCAUUGGGAACUACCGGGCUGGAGUGCCGGAGAGGUAGGCGGAAUUCCUAGUGUAGCGGUGAAAUGCGUAGAUAUUAGGAGGAACACCGGUGGCGAAGGCGGCCUGCUGGACUACAACUGACGUUGAGGCCCGAAAGCGUGGGGAGCAAACAGGAUUAGAUACCCCGGUAGUC